RNAcentral lists this ribosomal RNA (441 nucleotides) under uncultured bacterium. RNAcentral describes it as "bacterial SSU rRNA". It matches the Rfam family "Bacterial small subunit ribosomal RNA", at positions 338 to 795 of the family's 1533-position model. The record is from RNAcentral.
CCUACGGGAGGCAGCAGUGGGGAAUAUUGCACAAUGGGGGAAACCCUGAUGCAGCAACGCCGCGUGCGGGACGAAGGCCUUCGGGUCGUAAACCGCUUUUCUGGGGAAAGAGCAAGGACGGUACCUCAGGAAUAAGUCUCGGCUAACUACGUGCCAGCAGCCGCGGUAAAACGUAGGAGGCGAGCGUUAUCCGGAUUUACUGGGCGUAAAGCGCACGCAGGCGGCUCCGUGAGUCGGACGUGAAAGCUCUCGGCUUAACCGGGAGAGGCCGUUCGAUACUGCGGGGCUUGAGGUAGGGAGAGGAAUGCGGAAUUCCCGGUGUAGUGGUGGAAUGCGUAGAUAUCGGGAGGAACACCUGUGGCGAAAGCGGCAUUCUGGCCCUCACCUGACGCUGAGGUGCGAAAGCGUGGGUAGCAAACAGGCUUAGAUACCCGAGUAGUC